RNAcentral lists this ribosomal RNA (1173 nucleotides) under Bacillus altitudinis. Its description in RNAcentral is "bacterial SSU rRNA". It matches the Rfam family "Bacterial small subunit ribosomal RNA", at positions 280 to 1488 of the family's 1533-position model. Lineage: Bacteria; Bacillati; Bacillota; Bacilli; Caryophanales; Bacillaceae. The record is from RNAcentral.
UCCGUAGCCGACCGGAGCGGGGGAUCGGGCACACUGGGACUGAGACACCGGCCAGACUGCUACGGGAGGCAGGAGUCGGGGAUCUCCGGCAAUCGACGAAAGUCUGGACGAAAGUCUGGAACAAGUGCAAGAGUAACUGCUGGUGCACCUUGACGGUACCUAACCAGAAAGGGCCACGGCUAACUACGUGCCAGCAGCCGCGGUAAUACGUAGGUGGCAAGCGUUGUCCGGAAUUAUUGGGCGUAAAGGGCUCGCAGGCGGUUUCUUAAGUCUGAUGUGAAAGCCCCCGGCUCAACCGGGGAGGGUCAUUGGAAACUGGGAAACUUGAGUGCAGAAGAGGAGAGUGGAAUUCCACGUGUAGCGGUGAAAUGCGUAGAGAUGUGGAGGAACACCAGUGGCGAAGGCGACUCUCUGGUCUGUAACUGACGCUGAGGAGCGAAAGCGUGGGGAGCGAACAGGAUUAGAUACCCUGGUAGUCCACGCCGUAAACGAUGAGUGCUAAGUGUUAGGGGGUUUCCGCCCCUUAGUGCUGCAGCUAACGCAUUAAGCACUCCGCCUGGGGAGUACGGUCGCAAGACUGAAACUCAAAGGAAUUGACGGGGGCCCGCACAAGCGGUGGAGCAUGUGGUUUAAUUCGAAGCAACGCGAAGAACCUUACCAGGUCUUGACAUCCUCUGACAACCCUAGAGAUAGGGCUUUCCCUUCGGGGACAGAGUGACAGGUGGUGCAUGGUUGUCGUCAGCUCGUGUCGUGAGAUGUUGGGUUAAGUCCCGCAACGAGCGCAACCCUUGAUCUUAGUUGCCAGCAUUCAGUUGGGCACUCUAAGGUGACUGCCGGUGACAAACCGGAGGAAGGUGGGGAUGACGUCAAAUCAUCAUGCCCCUUAUGACCUGGGCUACACACGUGCUACAAUGGACAGAACAAAGGGCUGCGAGACCGCAAGGUUUAGCCAAUCCCACAAAUCUGUUCUCAGUUCGGAUCGCAGUCUGCAACUCGACUGCGUGAAGCUGGAAUCGCUAGUAAUCGCGGAUCAGCAUGCCGCGGUGAAUACGUUCCCGGGCCUUGUACACACCGCCCGUCACACCACGAGAGUUUGCAACACCCGAAGUCGGUGAGGUAACCUUUAUGGAGCCAGCCGCGGGGAUGGGGGGAAUCGAGUGGGAUCGCGGAUCG